AUGAACGCUGGCGGCGUGCCUAAUACAUGCAAGUCGAGCGAACAGACGAGGAGCUUGCUCCUCUGACGUUAGCGGCGGACGGGUGAGUAACACGUGGAUAACCUACCUAUAAGACUGGAAUAACUUCGGGAAACCGGAGCUAAUACCGGAUAAUAUAUUGAACCGCAUGGUUCAAUAGUGAAAGACGGUUUUGCUGUCACUUAUAGAUGGAUCCGCGCCGCAUUAGCUAGUUGGUAAGGUAACGGCUUACCAAGGCAACGAUGCGUAGCCGACCUGAGAGGGUGAUCGGCCACACUGGAACUGAGACACGGUCCAGACUCCUACGGGAGGCAGCAGUAGGGAAUCUUCCGCAAUGGGCGAAAGCCUGACGGAGCAACGCCGCGUGAGUGAUGAAGGUCUUCGGAUCGUAAAACUCUGUUAUUAGGGAAGAACAAAUGUGUAAGUAACUAUGCACGUCUUGACGGUACCUAAUCAGAAAGCCACGGCUAACUACGUG
Molecule: ribosomal RNA, 496 nt
Filed under: uncultured bacterium
Lineage: Bacteria
Description: partial 16S ribosomal RNA
Rfam family: Bacterial small subunit ribosomal RNA
Source: RNAcentral